GGUGGCCUAGUGGUUAGAGCGUCCGCCUGGGAUGCAGGCGGUCGUUGGUUCGAACCUCGGCCGAGUCA
This is a non-coding RNA of Potamilus streckersoni, 68 nucleotides long. Lineage: Eukaryota; Metazoa; Mollusca; Bivalvia; Unionida; Unionidae. The record is from the annotation of a GenBank genome assembly.